This 460-nucleotide ribosomal RNA is filed under the name uncultured bacterium. RNAcentral's name for it is "partial 16S ribosomal RNA". It matches the Rfam family "Bacterial small subunit ribosomal RNA", at positions 338 to 795 of the family's 1533-position model. The record is from RNAcentral.
CCUACGGGUGGCAGCAGUGAGGAAUAUUGGUCAAUGGACGAGAGUCUGAACCAGCAAAGUAGCGUGAAGGAUGACUGCCCUCUGGGUUGUAAACUUCUUUUAUAUGGGAAUAAAAUGUUCCACGUGUGGGAUUUUGUAUGUACCAUAUGAAUAAGGAUCGGCUAACUCCGUGCCAGCAGCCGCGGUAAUACGGAGGAUCCGAUCGUUAUCCGGAUUUAUUGGGUUGAAAGGGAGCGGAGGUGGAUUGUUAAGUCAGUUGGGAAAGUUUGCGGCUCAACCGUAAAAUUGCAGUUGAUACUGGCAGUCUUGAGUACAGUAGAGGUGGGCGGAAUUCGUGGUGUAGCGGUGAAAUGCUUAGAUAUCACGAAGAACUCCGAUGGCGAAGGCAGUUCACUGGACUGCAACUGACAUUGAGGCUCGAAAGUGUGGGGAUCAAACAGGAUUAGAUACCCUAGUAGUC